This 253-nucleotide ribosomal RNA is filed under the name uncultured Rikenellaceae bacterium. RNAcentral's name for it is "partial 16S ribosomal RNA". It matches the Rfam family "Bacterial small subunit ribosomal RNA", at positions 524 to 776 of the family's 1533-position model. The record is from RNAcentral. Lineage: Bacteria; Pseudomonadati; Bacteroidota; Bacteroidia; Bacteroidales; Rikenellaceae.
UACAUAGGGAGCAAGCGUUAUCCGGAUUUAUUGGGUUUAAAGGGUGCGUAGGCGGCAGAUUAAGUUAGAGGUGAAAUUCCGAGGCUCAACCUUGGCACUGCCUCUGAUACUGGUUUGCUAGAGAGUAGUUGCGGUAGGCGGAAUGUAUGGUGUAGCGGUGAAAUGCUUAGAGAUCAUACAGAACACCGAUUGCGAAGGCAGCUUACCAAGCUACUUCUGACGUUGAGGCACGAAAGCGUGGGGAGCAAACAGG